Prionailurus viverrinus (fishing cat) is the source of this 173-nucleotide long non-coding RNA. RefSeq lists it as uncharacterized. The transcript is spliced from 3 exons. Lineage: Eukaryota; Metazoa; Chordata; Mammalia; Carnivora; Felidae. The record is from RefSeq and is a predicted model, not a curated record.
CUGAGUUAUUAAGGAAGAAGACAUGAGGAAUGGGAAGGCACAGAGAACUUCACUGUGGAAGAUGCAAACAUAGAGUUUUAGGUAAGGCUAAGAAAACAGAUAGAAGUAAAGUUGAAGAUCAAAACAGAACAAAUUUAUGAAGUUUCGUAAGCAUUCCUAUCAGCACGAAACAG